UUGAAGGGGAGAGCUUGUGCUACUCUUGGUGACUUUUAUUCAAGAUUUGGACUCCCAACCCGGAGUACCACCUCGACGCGAAAACUAGAAGCACUAUUGUGGGGUACGAGUAACGCGAGAGACUUGAUAAAGACUAGUGUAGCCUUUUGUUUUGACUUUUGAAUUUUGGUUUUGUACUCGCGCUAUUCCCCGAACGAAACAUGUUGUACUUGGAUUGUAUACGUUUUGGUACUAGUUGGUGUAUUAAGACUUUGUACCUGAUUCCUAUCGAUGUAAACUAUAAGUUUGAAUCGUGAAUAUUAUUUAUGGUGCAUGGUUGUGUAUA
Coffea arabica (coffee) is the source of this 325-nucleotide long non-coding RNA. RefSeq lists it as uncharacterized. Lineage: Eukaryota; Viridiplantae; Streptophyta; Magnoliopsida; Gentianales; Rubiaceae. The record is from RefSeq and is a predicted model, not a curated record.